This 459-nucleotide ribosomal RNA is filed under the name uncultured bacterium. RNAcentral describes it as "partial 16S ribosomal RNA". It matches the Rfam family "Bacterial small subunit ribosomal RNA", at positions 338 to 795 of the family's 1533-position model. The record is from RNAcentral.
CCUACGGGUGGCAGCAGUGAGGAAUAUUGGUCAAUGGCCGGAAGGCUGAACCAGCCAUGCCGCGUGAAGGGCAGGGACCUAGGGGCGUUAAACUUCUUUUGUGCGGGAGCAAGAAUGGGCACGUGGGGCCAGACGAGAGUACCGUACGAAUAAGCAGCGGCGAACUCCGGGCCAGCAGCCGCGGUAAUACGGGGGAUGCAAGCGUUAUCCGGAUUUAUUGGGUGUAAAGGGCGUGUAGCCGGGAAGGCAAGUCAGAUGUGAAAUCUGGAGGCUCAACCUCCAAAUUGCAUUUGAAACUGUUUUUCUUGAGUACUGGAGAGGCAGCCGGAAUUCCUUGUGUAGCGGUGAAAUGCGUAGAUAUAAGGAGGAACACCAGUGGCGAAGGCGGUCUGCUGGACAGCAACUGACGGUGAGGCGCGAAAGCGUGGGGAGCAAACAGGAUUAGAUACCCCAGUAGUC